RNAcentral lists this ribosomal RNA (311 nucleotides) under uncultured bacterium. Its description in RNAcentral is "bacterial SSU rRNA". It matches the Rfam family "Bacterial small subunit ribosomal RNA", at positions 28 to 334 of the family's 1533-position model. The record is from RNAcentral.
GAUGAACGCUGGCGGCGCGCCUAACACAUGCAAGUCGGACGGAGAUAAGGAGGAGCUUGCUCCACCUUAUCUGAGUGGCGGACGGGUGAGUAACGCGUGAGCAACCUGCCUUAAAGAGGGGGAUAACGUCUGGAAACGGACGCUAAUACCGCAUAACGUCGCAAGACCAAAGAGGGGGACCUUCGGGCCUCUUGCCAUCGGAUGUGCCCAGAUGGGAUUAGCUAGUAGGUGGGGUAACGGCUCACCUAGGCGACGAUCCCUAGCUAGUCUGAGAGGAUGACCAGCCACACUGGAACUGAGACACGGUCCAG